This is a long non-coding RNA of Microplitis demolitor, 1319 nucleotides long. RefSeq lists it as uncharacterized. The transcript has 3 exons. The record is from RefSeq and is a predicted model, not a curated record. NCBI's taxonomy places the organism in Eukaryota, Metazoa, Arthropoda, Insecta, Hymenoptera, Braconidae.
CUUGCCAGAUAAAGAUUAUUUGAGUGUCCUACUAUGCACUAUAUUUUAUUCAACAAUUGCCUGAUUUACGCGAUUAAUGACAUUCUGCUAAACGACGUCUGUGGCUGUUUAGCGACACAGUGCACCCACAAAAUUACAACAAACCGCCGACUUGAAAAUUCAGAAUUCCUAUUUAAUUGAUUUAAAAUUUACUCGGAUCUUUUAAUUAUUAAUUUAAAUAUUUAUUAACAAAAUAAUUACAACAAUGAGCACGCGGUAUAACCCACUCCACGUAAGAUGAAUUGAAGUAACCAUAUUUAGUGUACUAACCAUUCAACAUGGAUUUUGACAAAAGACUUCGAGUCGUUCAACAGGGGUAUCCACCUGGCAUAUCUUCCAUAUAGAAUAAAAAAUAAGAAGAGUUACAACAAACUAAAAAGCCAUCAACACUCUGGACAAUUUACUCCAUGCUUAAUAGUAUUUUGAAUUUGUAUCAUGAGAUCCACAUAAAUACUUAUAAAAAAUUACGCGAUUUCCUUAAAAAACAAGAUCGUGGUUUUAAAAAUAAAAAAUCUAAAAUUUUAUCAGCAGACAAGGUUGCAGAACUUUUGAAUAAUGCUCUCGAUGAUGAUUAUUUAGUUGACAAGGUUAUCUUAAUCUUAGGAGUCUGCAGAGCUUGCAGAAGAGUUGAACUUUGCGAAUGAACGUUUGAAGUUUUUGAGGACAAUGACGUGAACAUGAUAAUUCAAAUUAAUGCCACUAAAACGUCAAUAGUUUGCAAAUUUUCUGUUGAUGGAGAAUUUUACAAGAUUGUAAAAAAAUAUCUAACGCUCCGACCAAAAGUUUGCAAGACUAGUCGAUUUUUUUUAAACUUGCAGAAGGGUAAAGGCACUCGGCAACUGAUUGGUGUCAAUAAAAUCGGAAGUGUACCCCGUAAAAUUGUCGCAUACUUAAAGCUACCCAAUGCAAACCAAUUUACUGGUCAUUUUUUUCGACGUACUUCAGCCACUCUUCUCGUAGAUGCUGGUGCAUGACUGCUCUGAAGCAUCAUAGUGGCUGGAGUUCGUCGACGGUUGCUGAGGGGUACAUCGAUCAUUCAAUAAAAAACAAACAAAAAGUAUUUCACUAAAUCACUGAAUCGAUUACUCUAAAAUCAACUUCUAAUGCAACUACCACUAUCUCGUUAUCUCAAAAAAAUCCAGACAUCAAUAGAGCAUCAACCUCAAACGUUAAUCAUCUCACCCAAAUAAGUGCACCUCUCACGGACAUCUCUAAAAAUGCACCACCAAAUAUGAAUCAACAUUUUAAUAAGUGCCCAAACCUCACUAUCAUUUUUAGUA